Molecule: transfer RNA, 59 nt
Filed under: Drepanolejeunea vesiculosa
Lineage: Eukaryota; Viridiplantae; Streptophyta; Jungermanniopsida; Porellales; Lejeuneaceae
Also listed under: 4 other names
Description: partial tRNA-Phe
Rfam family: tRNA
About the family: Transfer RNA (tRNA) molecules are approximately 80 nucleotides in length. Their secondary structure includes four short double-helical elements and three loops (D, anti-codon, and T loops).
Source: RNAcentral
GCCGGAAUAGCUCAGUUGGUAGAGCAGGGGACUGAAAAUCCUCGUGUCACCAGUUCAAA